GCUGGGCAUGGCAAACUACACCAAUUAGAAGUUAAAUAUCAUUCUCAUUACAGUAUUAGAAUUCAUUAAAUUAAUUAAAAAUGAACCUACGUUGCAAAAACUGACCCGAGAUCAGGUAAAGCUGAUUCACUGCAUUAACGCCAUCUGGCGGUUAAUCAUCAGAAUUUUAAAAUGUUUCGUAACAGUAUGACGUAGCGCAGCUUAGUCUGCUGAAAUCACGUGACUUUGCGAGUUUAGGCUCGUUUGAGGUGUUUCACUGCACCUGUCUUUCUCAGAAGGAAUCAAAAGUGCCCCUUUCAACACUAAUACUGUGGUCAGUAAAACAAAGUUCAUUUGAAUUAUAGUCAAUAUGACAGUAACAAAUCGAUUAAAAGUCGGAAAAUACGAGUUUAUGUCGCAUAUUCAUAACUGUGACCAGCUGUUUACAAAAGAUAUAGAACUGCGGACCAUAUGUGUGUCGAUUCAAUUAAAAUCAUAUUAAUUCAUCGACGCCUGUUUGACACGCAACCAAUCGUGAUGAUGCUGCACAACAAGCUCAAAUGUCAUUGGACAGUGUGAAGUGGAUCGGUAGUUUCCCGCUUUUAUCCAUAAAUCGGCCAGCUGUUGUCUAUUUUAAGGUGAAGCUAAAAGAAAAAAGAAGAAGAAGGUGAAAAAAAGACCAGAAACGAAUUGACUACAUGACCAUGCAGCACCAGAAGUCAUAUUAAUAGGCAUCUGCGUGUAACCUCCUGAACACUGCUUGGUGUGCCUUCCUCUUGUUGGCUCACCUUCCUGCCUCACCAUCAGCACUGCCAUAUCUAAGCUCUGAGGAGUCCCAAGCUCUGCCACAUCCCUCGGAGCUCUCAGUUCCACCUCGGUCCAUCAACCAGUCGACUCCACCCUGGCUCCUUGCCCCCUUGGCUCCACCUGGGAUUGUAGUCCCUUCAACUCCACCUCCUCCCUCCUCCCACCGGCUCCACCUUGGUCAGUCGUCACCCAACCAUCGGCAUGGACUUCCGGGCUGUCUGCUGCGCUCCAUCCCUCCACCCCUAAGGCUCAAUCGGACUCCUCCAUCCCUCAGGCUCCACUGCAGCCAUUAGCCUGCAUUAGCCUCCUCCAUUGCUCCUCUCAUCAUCAACUCCUCCAUGGGUCAUUCCACCAUCUUAUCCUUCAUGGUUCCUCCCAUCAUCUCCUCCAUGGCUUCUUCCGCCAUCUGCUCCACCCUGGUUCCUCACAUCUGCUCCCCUAUUGGUUUCCUCCACCCUUCUUUCCUCAGUCCAUCCAUCACGACGUGAGGCCACACCUUCCUCGGAGGGGAUGUUUCGUCAUGAUCUGUGUGUUUAAUUUCAUUUUCAUGGACUUUUAGUUUGUCUCUCUUCAGUUACCUGUUUCCUUUGUUCUAGUUUCCUGCCAGUCAUUAGUUGUCAUGGACAUUCAAUCAUCACACCUGUUUAUUUAGUCAUCAUCUCUGUGUAUUUAAGUUCCUCUUUGUUCUCAGUUGAGUGGUCCAGUAUUGUUGUUCCUACAUGCUGUUACAGUGUCAUAUGCCUGCUAAUUAUCUGUGGAUUACCUGAGUUUGUUUUAUUUAAUAAAUCUUUUGUUUUGUGAAACCAUUUGCCUCUUCAUCA
Long non-coding RNA from Megalobrama amblycephala (Wuchang bream), 1607 nucleotides. RefSeq lists it as uncharacterized. The record is from RefSeq and is a predicted model, not a curated record. Lineage: Eukaryota; Metazoa; Chordata; Actinopteri; Cypriniformes; Xenocyprididae. The transcript has 3 exons.